Vombatus ursinus (common wombat) is the source of this 107-nucleotide small nuclear RNA. The record is from Ensembl. Lineage: Eukaryota; Metazoa; Chordata; Mammalia; Diprotodontia; Vombatidae.
GUGCUUGUUUCAGCAGCACAUAUAUUAAAAUUGGAAUGGUACAGAUAAGAUUAGUAUGGCCCCUGCAUAAGGAUGACAAGCAAAUUCGUUAAGUGUUCCAUAUUUUU